AAACAGUGUCUUUUUUUUACCCCAAAAUGCCUUAAUACUUUUUCACCAAAUCGACAGCCCUCUGCAUCUCCGUCGGCAGCUCACUUCUGUAUCUUCGUCGAGAUAUGCUAUCAAGUAUACGGAAAGAGGACCCAAGGUACGUACUAGGAUUUACCUCAUCAUCGUCAUCAAAUCAUUAUCCGUUUUUUCUUUACAAGCUUUACCACUUAGCAAAGCACUAAUAUUGACUCUUGGCUGUAUAUUUAGCUAUCUUAGUUUCCCACUUUUUUCUAUUUUCAUUUUCUCUCUUUCCUUCUAAAUUCUGAAUCAUUCUUUAAUUCCAUAAAGGUAAAGAAAAAGAUUACCCCUUCCUUAAGGAAAUAAAAUCAAAGAAAAAAAAACCCACCUGUUUCCUCUACAAAACAGUUAAUGUCUAUAGUCAAAUAAUAGUAAUUUGUUUUGUUAUUUUCUAUGAAAGAGCAAUGGGAAAUAUUUCUGAGUUUUGUCUCUUAUAGGUAUAUAUGUGUGUUUCUUUCUUUUGAUGGUGCAGGAUCUUCAAAAUUUGAGAGAAGAAAUUCAAUCCAAGAAAAGAAAAAGAACCCCAAAAGAUGAGGAUUAAUGGGAGUUGGGAGUUGAUUUUUUAUUGAUUUUUUCAAGGUAAAUUCUUUGUUUUCGUUCUUUAUUUUUCUUUGUGAUUAUUUUAUUUCUUCGAAGUGUUUGUUUAAAUGCCUGAGUGUAGACUUUAGCUCUAUUAUUAAAAAAGAAUUUAUUUUGAUUCGUUGGGUUUAAUUUAACCCAAAGUUUCUCUUCUAAUGUUCUGUAAAUUUACUUUCAUUGGAUUUAUUUGCAUUAUAACUUGUGAAUUUGUCAAUGCCUGCAUAUAUAUAUUUGUACAAUUUGAUAAUUAAGUCAAUAAAGGUUUGCUUUUUUAUUUUGUUUUUUUGUUAAUACUUAUGAUUAUUAAUCCUUAUGAUCUCUAUGUGACCAGUUCUCAUACUUUUUUAUUGUCAUUAAUCAAUGUUUUUUAUGAGGGCUUUUGUGUUUUUAUUUAUUUAUUAAAUUUUUAUGUUUCAAUUAUGAACUUUGAGUUUAAAGGGAGCAAAUUUUUGUUGUUAAGUGAUAUUGUUAUAUAGUAAAAAAAAAGAUGAAUUCACAAAAUCAAGUGGAGUCAACUUUCAAGGAAAUACUUGAAGUGGUUAAGCCGUUGCAUGAAGACUGAGUUACUCGGUUUAAGAUCGUCAAUGAACUGCGUGAAGUCGUUCAAUCUAUCGAAAAUUUAAGAGGUAAAAUUUUAUGUUACUUUAUUUUGAUUGUUCCAUGGGAAAUGCUAAUAGUGAUUCUUAGUAACUCGUCUUGCGAGUAAAUCUAUACAAGUUUAUUGAUUGAUAUUGGCUGCAGAAAUGCUAUAUUUUGCAUUCCGUGAUGGAUGUUGCGAACAAUUUGCAAACCAAGAUAAUUUUUAUGUAUACAAACAUAAAAUGUUUGGCCCCAUGAAAAGAAACACGAACUAAACAAGUGGUUUUUUUGUAUAUCAUUCUUUUCCAUUUUUCAUUAACUGGUUUUUCUUUCAGCAACUAAAAUUUCCUCUCAAAUUUUUAAUUGUUUCAUAUCAUAUCUUACCUUCUCAGAAUUAUAUUUUUGAAUCAAAUUCAAAACUAAAUUCCAUGCUUUCUUUUAACUUUAUAAAAAAAUUUGUUAUAUAUAAUAUAAUUCUUAUUUUUCAGAAUUUUAAUAGAUUUUGUUCUGUUUUCAAAUUAAAAUGUUAUUUAGUAUUUUAAUUUUAAUAUUAUAAUUUAGUUAUAUUAAUAAAAUAUUACUUGUAUCUUAUAGGUUAUCAUGUUUGAGCAACAUUGCAAUAUUGAUGACCUUGAAUACCAAAUACUACUUUUGAUGAUGAACCAACUCUACAACUUACCUAAAUAAAUUCAUCUAUGGUGCAUCAAUUCACUAUUAAAAUAUUUGGGACCUAAUACCAUUAGCACAUUCACGCAACUUUCUUGAGAUGAGAAAACUUGUCCUUCUAUGAUGAUUGCCAAGAGUGCUUUUUCCAUAAUCUAUAGCAUGAAACUGUUUUGAUGUUACACUUAAUGCAAAAAUUGAAGUUUUGGGCAUGAUUAGAGUUAUUAGAUGAUUACUUUAAGAGAGCUUUCCCGUUUUACUAGCAUUACUUAAUUAGAAUCUAUUUCGACUUCAUAGUUUAUCGAGUCUUUAGCCAUAGCAAACUUAGAUUAGAGAAUUAAAUCUUAGCAGCUUUUAAGGUUCUAAGACAAAUGUUUCACUAAAAAUUGAAGACAUCCAGCUAACUACACUUGCUACAUAUAUGAACUAGUAUAGUAAAAAGCUGCAAUGAUAGUGUGGGAAUAUUUGCAUGUGAGAAGCUGCCCAUUGCGAUAUUGGGAGCUAAGCUUGACCAUUUGGCUUCCCCAGCAGUUUUAAAACAGUUUGAUGACAUCUUAAGUGCAAGUAAGGUAAGAAGCCCCCAUGCCUGUAUCAUACUGUCUGCUUGUUAUCUAGUAUAAAUUAGAUUUCUUUGAUUUGUAUUGUUAAUAUAGAUAUUACCUCAUUGUUAUUCUUUGGUCCAGUCGUGGAAAUUUUUUAAUGUUAUUUGUUCAUUCAAGUUUCUCAAAAUAUUUGGUGUGGUUUUUCUCAUUCUGUAUUGGUCCUUCUAUAGUCCUUUUUAGUUGGUUUAGAAAUAUAUUUGGUUUGAUUACAGAUUUAAGUGAUAUUACCAAUGAAUAUUUCUCAAAUCUAACUGUUCAUCAGACCUUGAUAUUGCCUUUUGUGCUUGUAAUUUUAGAUAUUAGAACUAAAGAAUAAUUUCUAUAUAACGUUAAACAAUAGUAGUGCAGCAUGUUUCUGUUCUACCUUUUGCAAAUGAAUACUAUUGUUCCUUGUUAAAUAACGGAAGCAUUCCAUUGUAUUGUGAAACCUCUAGUUUUUCUUGAUAUGAGUUAACUAUGGAAUAUUAUUUUCAUUUUCUCAUAUAUAUGUAUUUGGUGAUGCAUUUAUUGCAGACAAUUGAGAUUCUUUUCAGCAAAAGGAUAUUCUUAGAUAUAGAGGUUAGUUUCUUUAAUUCCCUCUUGCUCCUGAGCCUGUGCAGUUUUGCUGUUCAUUUUUUUUUUUGUUCUAUUCGGCUAUUAGCAACAAUGUUUUAUUUCUCUUUUGUUGAAACAAAUUCUGAUUCUUGCUUUAUGGUGGCAUUAUUAAAAAUUUAUCUUUCCAUAUCAUAAUUCAAAGAGAUCAGUUAAUGUGCUUUGACAUAUGUGGCUUUGAGGGUCGUAUAAGUAAUUUCCUUACUGGCCUGACUUUGGCUUACAGGUGCAUACUUUGGCUUUGACGGUCGUAUAAGUGUUUAAUAAGGAGAAAACCAUUUUAUGUGUUAAAUGCUGAAAAUUUAGGUGUUAAAUGUUGCAAUUUAUGGUGUCUGAAAGUUGUGAUUUAUGAUAUUCGAAUGAUGUAUUUUAUGUUGUUCGAAUGUGUUGAAGAGUUGAUUUAAUAUAAUGCUUAAUGGUUGUUUAUUGUUGUUCAAAGCAUGAUGAAAUAAACAUGUUAGGCGUGGUUUAACACAUGCCUUGCUGACCUGUAAGGUUGUCCAAAACAAGACAAAAUUUAGUUGUCUUUAAGAUGUUCGAAUGUGGUUGUUCAAAUGGUUCUUCAAAUUUUCCAAAUGUGUCUUUAAGGUGCUCGAAAAUGUCAUAUUAAUGUUGUCUAUAUAUGAUUUUGAAUGCUGGAAAUUUGCAGCAUUUAAUUUCCUACUUGAAGUUGAUUAAACCAUGCUGUAAGUGCAAAACAUUUAUAUGCUGUUCACAUGCUAAAUUAACCAUUAGUGAGCUUAAAAUUGAUCUAUUUGAAUGUGUUAAAUUCAUUGUUCAAUGUGAUGUUAUUUAUGUUAAUGUAUUGAGUAUAUUAAGUUGUGCAAUUUGAUGUUAUAUGUGGCGUUAACGUUGACUUGUUAAUUGCAUAUUUUAUUAUUAAUUUGAUUUAGGGUUCUGAAUUUAGAAGAACCUUAUCUUAAGAUAAGUUAUUUACUUUCAUAAUAGCUGGAAUCUGAUUCUGUUAUUUUGGUUGGUUUUUGCCUUCGUAUGUCAUUCAUUAACUUUUGUUUCUUUUUUCUCAGGUUUGAGUUUUUGUUGGAUGCAUGGUCCAGGAAUAUUAGCUGAAUUCAUGCAUAGUGACGACUUGUUUGAGCUAACUGUUGAUCUUAAAGUGUGCAUUCUAUCAUUAUUUUGUUCUAUUUGUAUUUUGUUAGAUUUCUGGUGUAGUAUGAUAAGUGCGGUAUUUUGUUUGAUUGUUAUUGAUAAACUUACUGUUUGGUGGGAUAUAUAUUUAUAUUGAAUUUUAAAUUUUUUAUAUUUUUCAU
Molecule: long non-coding RNA, 4339 nt
Filed under: Gossypium barbadense (sea-island cotton)
Lineage: Eukaryota; Viridiplantae; Streptophyta; Magnoliopsida; Malvales; Malvaceae
Description: long non-coding RNA (GBAR_LNC005903)
Source: RNAcentral